UGGGGAAUUUUGGACAAUGGGCGAAAGCCUGAUCCAGCAAUGCCGCGUGUGUGAAGAAGGCCUUCGGGUUGUAAAGCACUUUUGUCCGGAAAGAAAUCCUUGGCUCUAAUACAGUCGGGGGAUGACGGUACCGGAAGAAUAAGCACCGGCUAACUACGUGCCAGCAGCCGCGGUAAUACGUAGGGUGCAAGCGUUAAUCGGAAUUACUGGGCGUAAAGCGUGCGCAGGCGGUUUGCUAAGACCGAUGUGAAAUCCCCGGGCUCAACCUGGGAACUGCAUUGGUGACUGGCAGGCUAGAGUAUGGCAGAGGGGGGUAGAAUUCCACGUGUAGCAGUGAAAUGCGUAGAGAUGUGGAGGAAUACCGAUGGCGAAGGCAGCCCCCUGGGCCAAUACUGACGCUCAUGCACGAAAGCGUGGGGAGCAAACAGGAUUAGAUACCCUGGUAGUCCACGCCCUAAACGAUGUCAACUAGUUGUUGGGGAUUCAUUUCCUUAGUAACGUAGCUAACGCGUGAAGUUGACCGCCUGGAGGANCGGUCGCAAGAUUAAAACUCAAAUGAAUUGACGGGGUCAUAGCUGUUUCCU
This 584-nucleotide ribosomal RNA is filed under the name uncultured bacterium. RNAcentral's name for it is "partial 16S ribosomal RNA". It matches the Rfam family "Bacterial small subunit ribosomal RNA", at positions 355 to 1375 of the family's 1533-position model. The record is from RNAcentral.